AUUGAACGCUGGCGGCAUGCCUUACACAUGCAAGUCGAACGGUAACAGGUCUUCGGACGCUGACGAGUGGCGAACGGGUGAGUAAUGCAUCGGAACGUGCCCAGUCGUGGGGGAUAACUGCUCGAAGAGCAGCUAAUACCGCAUACGACCUGAGGGUGAAAGCGGGGGACCGUAAGGCCUCGCGCGAUUGGAGCGGCCGAUGUCAGCUUAGUUAGUUGGUGGGGUAAAGGCCUACCAAGGCAACGAUCUGUAGUUGGUCUGAGAGGACGACCAGCCACACUGGGACUGAGACACGGCCCAGACUCCUACGGGAGGCAGCAGUGGGGAAUGUUGGACAAUGGGCGCAAGCCUGAUCCAGCAAUGCCGCGUGCAAGAAGAAGGCCUUCGGGUUGUAAACUGCUUUUGUCAGGGAAGAAAUCUUCUGGGCUAAUACCCCGGGAGGAUGACGGUACCUGAAGAAUAAGCACCGGCUAACUACGUG
Molecule: ribosomal RNA, 481 nt
Filed under: uncultured bacterium
Lineage: Bacteria
Description: partial 16S ribosomal RNA
Rfam family: Bacterial small subunit ribosomal RNA
Source: RNAcentral